Long non-coding RNA from Fundulus heteroclitus (mummichog), 963 nucleotides. RefSeq lists it as uncharacterized. Lineage: Eukaryota; Metazoa; Chordata; Actinopteri; Cyprinodontiformes; Fundulidae. The transcript has 2 exons. The record is from RefSeq and is a predicted model, not a curated record.
GUGAAGCAAAUCCAACUUAUAUAGACGCCAUCGGCAUCCCUCGUGGGGUCCAUAAUAAGUAUAAAUUAGCAAAUCAAAUAGCUGCAGGUUUUGAAUCGAUUAUCUGCUGGUGGUGCACGAGCAAUAAAAAUGUAGACAGGAUCAAUUACAUCCACUACAACAUCCAGAGAUUAGGUAAUUGGACAAAAGCGGUUUUGAAGCAGUACACGAUCAGUUAGCUGCAACUUCUCUGCUGGCUUUCCAGAACAGAAUAGCUCUCGACAUGCUGCUGGCAGAAAAAGGAGGUGUUUGUGCUAUUUUUGGAGAACAGUGCUGCACAUUCAUUCCUAACAACACCGCUGCUGAUGGUAGCCUGACCAAGGCUAUAGAGGGUCUGCGCACUCUCAAUAAGAAGAUGAAAGAGCAUUCUGGGAUAGACACUACCAUGUGGGAUCACUAGUUGGACGUGUUUGGGAAGUAUAAAACACUGGUCGCAUCAAUUGUAGUUUCCAUUGCAGUGUUUACUGCUAUUCUGGUAUUGUGUGGAUGUUGUUUUAUUCCCUGUCUGCGUUCUUUGUUGAAUUGUCUCAUUACUACAGCAAUUUCACCCAUGGAGGACAAAAUGGCACAGAUGUAUCCCCUAUUAGCCCACGAUGACAAUGAUGAAAACAACAGUGAGGAGCCAGAAAGCCUGCAGAAAGCAGAGAAAUGUGUUGUGACGAUAAGUGUUUUUCUAAAUAUGUCUGAAACUGUGAUGAACUGUAUUUGGAGUGCUUAUGUAUAAAUGUACUGUGUGGACUGCUUAGUAUUAUCUCUGUGUUCCUAAGGUCACAGAGUGUUUUGCUUAUCCCUACCCCUUAGCUUGACAAUGUAACCAGGGUUUCCCUAAUAAAAGCAAGGAGGGGACAGAGUGUCUUCAGAGCGAGUUUGGAGAUCUGUAUUAAGCGUCUAAGCUCCUCUCCUUGCAAGAUUUAUGAAAACUAA